Molecule: ribosomal RNA, 467 nt
Filed under: uncultured Magnetospirillum sp.
Lineage: Bacteria; Pseudomonadati; Pseudomonadota; Alphaproteobacteria; Rhodospirillales; Rhodospirillaceae
Description: bacterial SSU rRNA
Rfam family: Bacterial small subunit ribosomal RNA
Source: RNAcentral
UUCGGCCUUAGUGGCGCACGGGUGAGUAACACGUGGGAAUAUACCUUUCAGUGGGGGAUAACGUCGGGAAACUGACGCUAAUACCGCAUACGCCCCUUGGGGGAAAGAUUUAUCGCUGAAAGAUUAGCCCGCGUCCGAUUAGCUAGUUGGUGAGGUAACGGCUCACCAAGGCGACGAUCGGUAGCUGGUCUGAGAGGAUGAUCAGCCACACUGGGACUGAGACACGGCCCAGACUCCUACGGGAGGCAGCAGUGGGGAAUAUUGGACAAUGGGGGCAACCCUGAUCCAGCCAUGCCGCGUGAGUGAUGAAGGCCUUAGGGUUGUAAAGCUCUUUCACCCACGACGAUGAUGACGGUAGUGGGAGAAGAAGCCCCGGCUAACUUCGUGCCAGCAGCCGCGGUAAUACGAAGGGGGCUAGCGUUGUUCGGAAUUACUGGGCGUAAAGCGCACGCAGGCGGUGACCAUAG